UACGUAGGGUGCAAGCGUUGUCCGGAAUUAUUGGGCGUAAAGAGCUCGUAGGCGGUCUGUCACGUCGGCUGUGAAAUCCCGAGGCUCAACCUCGGGUCUGCAGUCGAUACGGGCAAACUAGAGUAUUGCAGGGGAGACUGGAAUUCCUGGUGUAGCGGUGAAAUGCGCAGAUAUCGAGAGGAACACCUGCGGCGAAGGCGGUUCUCUGGGCCUUACCUGACGCUGAGGAGCGAAAGCGUGGGGAGCGAACAGG
This 253-nucleotide ribosomal RNA is filed under the name uncultured bacterium. RNAcentral's name for it is "partial 16S ribosomal RNA". It matches the Rfam family "Bacterial small subunit ribosomal RNA", at positions 524 to 776 of the family's 1533-position model. The record is from RNAcentral.